RNAcentral lists this ribosomal RNA (433 nucleotides) under uncultured bacterium. Its description in RNAcentral is "partial 16S ribosomal RNA". It matches the Rfam family "Bacterial small subunit ribosomal RNA", at positions 29 to 507 of the family's 1533-position model. The record is from RNAcentral.
AACGAACGCUGGCGGCAUGCCUAACACAUGCAAGUCGAACGAAGCCUUCGGGCUUAGUGGCGCACGGGUGCGUAACGCGUCGGAAUCUGCCCCUUUCUUCGGAAUAACAGUUAGAAAUGACUGCUAAUACCGGAUGAAGUCUUCUGACCAAAGAUUUAUCGGCAAGGGAUGAGCCCGCGUAGGAUUAGGUAGUUGUGAGGGUAAAGGCCUACCAAGCCGACGAUCCUUAGCUGGUCUGAGAGGAUGAUCAGCCACACUGGGACUGAGACACGGCACAGACUCCUCCGGGAGGCAGGAGUGGGGAAUAGUGGACAAUGGACGCAAGUCUGAUCCAGCAAUGACGCGUGAGUGAUGAAGGCCUUAGGGUUGUAAAGCUCUUUUAACAGGGAUGAUAAUGACAGUACCUGGAGAAUAAGCCCCGGCUAACUCCGUG